This 403-nucleotide ribosomal RNA is filed under the name uncultured bacterium. RNAcentral's name for it is "partial 16S ribosomal RNA". It matches the Rfam family "Bacterial small subunit ribosomal RNA", at positions 30 to 525 of the family's 1533-position model. The record is from RNAcentral.
AUUGAACGCUGGCGGCAGGCCUAACACAUGCAAGUCGAGCGAGCGGCGGACGGGUGAGUAAUGUAUGGGGACUGCCCGAUAGAGGGGGAUAACUACUGGAAACGGUGGCUAAUACCGCCUACUAUCGGAUCACCCAUAUGGGAUUAGCUAGUCGGUAAGGUAAUGGCUUACCUAGGCUACGAUCCCUAGCUGGUCUGAGAGGAUGAUCCGCCAGACUGGAAUGGAGACACGGCCCAAACUCGUACGGAGGAAGCAGUGGGGAAUAUUGCACAAUGGGCGAAAGCCUGCUGCAGCCAUGCCGCGUGUAUGAAGAAGGCGCUAGGGUUGUAAAGUACUUUCAGUCGGGAGGCGUUGCCGACAGAAGAAGCAACGGCUAACUCAGUGCCAGCGGCCGCGGAAAUUA